Molecule: ribosomal RNA, 254 nt
Filed under: Acinetobacter baumannii
Lineage: Bacteria; Pseudomonadati; Pseudomonadota; Gammaproteobacteria; Moraxellales; Moraxellaceae
Description: partial 23S ribosomal RNA
Rfam family: Bacterial large subunit ribosomal RNA
Source: RNAcentral
GUACGAGAGGACCGGAGUGGACGCAUCACUGGUGUUCGGGUUGUCAUGCCAAUGGCACUGCCCGGUAGCUAAAUGCGGAAGAGAUAAGUGCUGAAAGCAUCUAAGCACGAAACUUGCCCCGAGAUGAGUUCUCCCUGAGACUUUAAGUCUCCUGAAGGAACGUUGAAGACGACGACGUUGAUAGGCCGGGUGUGUAAGCGCAGCGAUGCGUUGAGCUAACCGGUACUAAUGAACCGUGAGGCUUAACCUUACAA